GACGAACGCUGGCGGCGUGCUUAACACAUGCAAGUCGAACGGAAAGGCCCUGCUUUUGUGGGGUGCUCGAGUGGCGAACGGGUGAGUAACACGUGAGUAACCUGCCCUUUACUUUGGGAUAACUUCAGGAAACUGGGGCUAAUACCGGAUAGGAGCUCCUGCUGCAUGGUGGGGGUUGGAAAGUUUCGGCGGGUGGGGAUGGACUCGCGGCUUAUCAGCUUGUUGGUGGGGUAGUGGCUUACCAAGGGUUUGACGGGUAGCCGGCCUGAGAGGGUGACCGGCCACAUUGGGACUGAGAUACGGCCCAGACUCCUACGGGAGGCAGCAGUGGGGAAUAUUGCACAAUGGGCGGAAGCCUGAUGCAGCAACGCCGCGUGCGGGAUGACGGCCUUCGGGUUGUAAACCGCUUUCGCCUGUGACGAAGCGUGAGUGACGGUAAUGGGUAAAGAAGCACCGGCUAACUACGUG
Molecule: ribosomal RNA, 468 nt
Filed under: uncultured bacterium
Lineage: Bacteria
Description: partial 16S ribosomal RNA
Rfam family: Bacterial small subunit ribosomal RNA
Source: RNAcentral